UGCAGCAAAGCCCAACCAACCCUCACCCACUCUGGUUUAUGCUUGCACCAUUAGGGAAAGUCAACUAAGCCUGGCGUUUCCCUGAUCUAGCUCACGUGAGGCCCACAGGUGUUGUAGCCCUGCCUGGUGGGGGUUAU
Long non-coding RNA from Ochotona curzoniae (black-lipped pika), 137 nucleotides. RefSeq lists it as uncharacterized. The transcript is spliced from 3 exons. The record is from RefSeq and is a predicted model, not a curated record. NCBI's taxonomy places the organism in Eukaryota, Metazoa, Chordata, Mammalia, Lagomorpha, Ochotonidae.